Molecule: ribosomal RNA, 253 nt
Filed under: uncultured bacterium
Lineage: Bacteria
Description: partial 16S ribosomal RNA
Rfam family: Bacterial small subunit ribosomal RNA
Source: RNAcentral
UACGUAGGGGGCAAGCGUUGUCCGGAUUUAUUGGGCGUAAAGAGCGUGUAGGCGGCUUUACAGGUCCGUUGUGAAAACUCGAGGCUCAACCUCGAGACGCCGGUGGAAACCGUAAGGCUAGAGUCCGGAAGAGGAGAGUGGAAUUCCUGGUGUAGCGGUGAAAUGCGCAGAUAUCAGGAGGAACACCGGUGGCGAAGGCGGCCCCCUGGACCGGUACUGACGCUGAGGCGCGAAAGCGUGGGUAGCAAACGGG